AACCAUAGAAACCUGCGGAGUACCUGCGGAAGGAUCAUUAUAGUAUAUGGAAUCUCCAUUCUAUAAACCCACUCUGCGUAUCUCGUAACUGUUGCUUCCAUGGGACUUGGUUCCGCCACACCGGCUUCACGGCUGGUGAGCGCCCAUGGAAGGAGAAACAAAACUCUUCUUUGAAAUGUAGUCAGUCUGAACAAGUUUUUAUAAACGUUAAAACUUUUAGCAAUGGAUCUCAGAUCGGAA
RNAcentral lists this unclassified non-coding RNA (240 nucleotides) under soil metagenome. RNAcentral describes it as "partial contains 5.8S ribosomal RNA, internal transcribed spacer 2, and large subunit ribosomal RNA". The record is from RNAcentral.